RNAcentral lists this long non-coding RNA (281 nucleotides) under Linum usitatissimum (flax). RNAcentral describes it as "long non-coding RNA (LUSI_LNC000856)". The record is from RNAcentral. Lineage: Eukaryota; Viridiplantae; Streptophyta; Magnoliopsida; Malpighiales; Linaceae.
UGCAACCAACUGCUUCGCCAAGAAACUCUUCUACCUUCUCUUCGAGACAAGAUAACUUAGUCUUGGAGUUCAAUGAUUCAUCAUCACAACUUUUUGCAUGUUUACGCAACCUCAAGUGGAAAACCUGGUUAGCCCUUUUGCUGUGAAGACUGCACCUCCUGAGGAAUCGAGUGAUUCCCAUAGCCGAAAAGCUGAUACUAUCAUCCUCCCUAAAUCUCUCUGUAGGAAGAAGGACUUCACGGAUCAGGUAAGAAUUUUCCCCUACAUCACCAACACUAAGA